RNAcentral lists this unclassified non-coding RNA (327 nucleotides) under uncultured fungus. Its description in RNAcentral is "partial contains small subunit ribosomal RNA, internal transcribed spacer 1, and 5.8S ribosomal RNA". The stretch from base 1 to 73 matches the Rfam family "Eukaryotic small subunit ribosomal RNA", at positions 1759 to 1831 of the family's 1831-position model. The record is from RNAcentral. Lineage: Eukaryota; Fungi.
CCAAACUUGGUCAUUUAGAGGAAGUAAAAGUCGUAACAAGGUUUCCGUAGGUGAACCUGCGGAAGGAUCAUUAUUGAUUCACAGGAUGGCGGGAUGUGCUGGCAAGAAAAAUGGGGUCAAACCCUUCUUGCAUCGUGCACUCCUGCCUCCUUUACAUUCUUGCAUUUGACCCUGUGCACCUUUUGUAGGUGGGACUGUUUCCAGCUUCCCACCUAUGCAUUUUUUGCUUAAACACCCGUCCUGUUUUGUAUGCAUUUUGGAAAUUGAAAAUCUUUAACAACUUUCAACAAUGGAUCUCUUGGCUCUCGCAUCGAUGAAGAACGCAGC